Myotis davidii is the source of this 104-nucleotide long non-coding RNA. RefSeq lists it as uncharacterized. NCBI's taxonomy places the organism in Eukaryota, Metazoa, Chordata, Mammalia, Chiroptera, Vespertilionidae. The transcript has 3 exons. The record is from RefSeq and is a predicted model, not a curated record.
CAGCUUUACUUGGGAGACAGUUAAAUUGCCUGCAGAUCAGCUUUUAAGACUUGAAUUUAAGCUCUGUUGAGAGAAAGGGAAAGGGAGAGAGAUUUAGAAGCAGC